UGGCGACCGUAGCAAGAGUGAACCACCUGAUCCCUUCCCGAACUCAGAAGUGAAACCUCUUAGCGCUGAUGGUAGUGUGGGAUUACCCAUGUGAGAGUAAGUCAUCGCCAGCUC
Molecule: ribosomal RNA, 114 nt
Filed under: Acinetobacter baumannii ATCC 19606 = CIP 70.34 = JCM 6841
Lineage: Bacteria; Pseudomonadati; Pseudomonadota; Gammaproteobacteria; Moraxellales; Moraxellaceae
Source: RNAcentral